Molecule: non-coding RNA, 251 nt
Filed under: Pontibacillus litoralis
Lineage: Bacteria; Bacillati; Bacillota; Bacilli; Caryophanales; Bacillaceae
Description: T-box sequence
Rfam family: T-box leader
About the family: Uncharged tRNA acts as the effector for transcription antitermination of genes in the T-box leader family.
Source: RNAcentral
UUAAAUUCAUUGAUGAGAACGAGUAGGCGUGCCCCUGAUCUAACAGAGAGUUGGUUGUUGCUGUGAGCCAAUGUUCAGAUCACGUUGAAUAUCCUCUCUGAGAAGGAAAACUGAACUUGUCAAUAAGUUUUCCCGGUCGUUCCACCGUUACAUGGAUUGCGUAUGAAUAUACGGCUAAUGAGUGCCAGCAAAUUGCUACAUAAGUGAGUGCUGGAAUCAGGGUGGUAACACGGGUUCAACUCGUCCCUUUU